GUGCUCUCUUCCGCACUGAAAUCCGAACAAUACAGAAAGAUUAGCACGGCCCCUGCUCAAGGAUAACAUGCAAAUCCAUGAAGCAAAAAAUUCCCUAUUUUU
This 102-nucleotide small nuclear RNA is filed under the name Sciurus vulgaris (Eurasian red squirrel). The record is from RNAcentral. Lineage: Eukaryota; Metazoa; Chordata; Mammalia; Rodentia; Sciuridae.